AAAGCUCAAAUUUAAAAUCUGGCGGUCUUUGGCCGUCCGAGUUGUAAUCUAGAGAAGUAAUGCCCGUGCUGGACCGUGUAUAAGUCUCCUGGGAUGGGGCGUCAUAGAGGGUGAGAAUCCCGUCUUUGACACGGACUACCAGUGCAUUGUGGUAUGCUCUCAAAGAGUCGAGUUGUUUGGGAAUGCAGCUCAAAAUGGGUGGUAAAUUCCAUCUAAAGCUAAAUAUUGGCGAGAGACCGAUA
This 242-nucleotide ribosomal RNA is filed under the name Agaricus bisporus (cultivated mushroom). RNAcentral's name for it is "partial large subunit ribosomal RNA". It matches the Rfam family "Eukaryotic large subunit ribosomal RNA", at positions 104 to 339 of the family's 3401-position model. The record is from RNAcentral. Lineage: Eukaryota; Fungi; Basidiomycota; Agaricomycetes; Agaricales; Agaricaceae.